This is a small nuclear RNA of Saimiri boliviensis boliviensis (Bolivian squirrel monkey), 106 nucleotides long. The record is from Ensembl. Lineage: Eukaryota; Metazoa; Chordata; Mammalia; Primates; Cebidae.
GUGCUCGCUUCGGCAGCACAUUACUAAAAUUGGAACGACAUGGAGAAGAUUAGCAGGGCCCCUGUUAAAAAUAAAAAAAAAAGAAAGAAAAAAGAAGCAUUAGUCU